RNAcentral lists this non-coding RNA (31 nucleotides) under Mus musculus (house mouse). Lineage: Eukaryota; Metazoa; Chordata; Mammalia; Rodentia; Muridae. The record is from RNAcentral.
UACAAAAUAAUUGAUCAAACCAGAAAACAUU